RNAcentral lists this transfer RNA (68 nucleotides) under Poropanchax normani. RNAcentral's name for it is "tRNA-Ser". The record is from RNAcentral. Lineage: Eukaryota; Metazoa; Chordata; Actinopteri; Cyprinodontiformes; Procatopodidae.
GAGAGAGGCUCGACAGCAACGAUAACUGCUAAUUUUCGCCACCCUAGUUAAACCCCAGGGCUCCCUCG